UACGUAGGUGGCAAGCGUUGUCCGGAUUUAUUGGGUUUAAAGGGUGCGUAGGCGGUAUAUUAAGUCAGCGGUGAAAGACGGUCGCUCAACGAUUGCAGUGCCGUUGAUACUGAUAUACUUGAGUGAUGCUGAGGUAGCUGGAAUUGACCGUGUAGCGGUGAAAUGCAUAGAUAUGGUCAAGAACGCCAAUUGCGAAGGCAGGUUACUGGACAUCAACUGACGCUGAGGCACGAAAGUGUGGGGAUCAAACAGG
This 253-nucleotide ribosomal RNA is filed under the name uncultured bacterium. RNAcentral describes it as "partial 16S ribosomal RNA". It matches the Rfam family "Bacterial small subunit ribosomal RNA", at positions 524 to 776 of the family's 1533-position model. The record is from RNAcentral.